This is a long non-coding RNA of Neofelis nebulosa (Clouded leopard), 1930 nucleotides long. RefSeq lists it as uncharacterized. The transcript is spliced from 3 exons. Lineage: Eukaryota; Metazoa; Chordata; Mammalia; Carnivora; Felidae. The record is from RefSeq and is a predicted model, not a curated record.
AGGGUGUCUCGCCAACAGUCUCCGUAUCGCAACCCCAAGCUGGCCACACCGGUUCCGGGAGCAGUCGCUUCACGGCGGUCGAGUUUUCUUAGGACUCCCAUUCUUGAGGAGCUGGUUUUAGAGGAAUUUGAGGUGGAGAUUCCCUUGAAUCUGUCACAUUUCCCGGUGUCGAAAAAUUAUUGCCAGCCCUCCGCGUCCGCGAUUUCUGAAUUUCAUAACUGCUAUUUCUGCUUUAUACAGCUGUUAUCCUAACUUGCAGUAAUAGCUCCCACCCCUAAAUUCCCAUAAACACUUAAUGCCCCAUGACCUAUGUUUAUCUCUUUAUUAUUUGCUGCCUUAAACUGCUACCAAGUGCUUUCACAGGCGUAUAUCUUGGCUGCUCCUUGAGGUCAGGAAUGUGUCUUUUCAGCCUAUGUCCAGGCUGGACACGCAGAAGGUGCUUAUUAAAUCCUCUAGUUCAUUAAUAUAUCCUCUCAAAAUCCUAUUUAUCUUUAGUCCCAAUUUCUACUCCUAUCCCUUACUAUUUGAUACCCUUCCCAAGUGUCUUUCUUUUUUCCUACCAAGACAUUUCAUUUCUUGAGGGGAUGGGGUGCACAAACAAGGACACUACCAGAUUUUUCCCCCCUUUAUAUGCCUAAUUGAUGACUUCUCUUUUAAGAAAGGAAAGCAUUCAUUGGUGUUUAACUUCCCAGAUAUCCAGAUAUUUCUUUUUGCUCCUCUCCACUCCACCAACAGGCUCCUGUGAGUCACUCUGAGUUUGGAUGUGGUAAGGAUCAGAGCCAAACUAGGACCUGCAUUUAUGAUCUCGAGGCUGAGGUGCCAUAGGUCAUAAAGGUGGACUGUCUUUCCCAGCAGGAAGAUCACAGAAACCUGACCUGACUCGACUGCCGCCUUCAGUCAGCACGAAGAACUACACACAGAGAAAAUGCCUCAAUAUUAGUUACCAUGGUGAUGCUAAUUCAACCACAUUUCAUCUGUGUAAAAAUUUCAGGCAGAACAGUAUACAGAAGUACUGGCUAAAGGACUUAACACUUUAUUUUUUGUUGUUGUUGCUGUUGCUGUUGCAAAGUUAACGUUAGCUUUGGUAAAGGAUGAUAAUUUGAAGUGAAAUCCUUUGAAAAAUUGAAAACAAGCAAGGAUGAAAUGUCAAACUUAUCCAUUGGAGCAAUCUCCUAAUAGCCACUUUUGCACUAUACCAAAUUACUUUCCCCUCAGCUAACAUGGGGCAUUUGGGGCUUCCUGAUUCUAUUUACUAGUAAGAGGAAAGUGGUUUAAUGAGAUCGCAGAAGAUCCAAAGCCAGGAAAUGUUGACAUAUCAGCUUGGAGGGAAAACUGAUAUAUAGGACCCUAAGGAAGUUAGGGGCUUGGACAAAAGUAGCAAGACGAGAUUCAACCAAGAAACAAAACUAACCCAUGUUAUUAAUCUGCUCUGGGGAGAGGAUAGAGCCUGAAGCUAAGACAAGAGAGUUUAUAACUUUCUAUAAUCACCCAAAAGUUAAAUACAGCUGGAAAGCCCUACAGACAGAAGCCUGGAGGAGGCUGAGGUCUUUGUGAAAGUGCAACUUACAAGUAACGACUUACUUCCUUACCCCCUUCCUUCCUUGCCAGGAUCAGAAAGUCAAAGAAGGUGAAGAGGCUAACACCGCUGAUUUACAAAGACAGCGAGGAGGAACUAUGUCUAGGCCAAUUCUGGACGUCUGAGCUGGGGCGACAGGACCCAGACAACCACCUCAGGAAAUGAGUAAAUGAAAAGGGGGAGUCGUGGAAUUAUUUAGCCCUAGCACAACGCUGCCUAGACCGGGGUGGGGGUGGAGCAAGAAGAAAAUCUCAGAAAAGGAAUUUUGACAGUGAGAAUGCUAGUUAAGAUACAGCACUCCAGGCCCCCUGAUGUCCCUUGUUUGAUGUUAAUAAAGACCUAGAGGAUUAUGCA